GUGCUCGCUUCAGCAGCACAUAUACUAAAAUUGGAACAAGACAGAGAAGAUUAGCACGUUCCCUGCGCAAGGAGGAUAUGCAGAUUCCUGGAGCAUUCCAUACUCUU
This 107-nucleotide small nuclear RNA is filed under the name Procavia capensis (Cape rock hyrax). The record is from RNAcentral. Lineage: Eukaryota; Metazoa; Chordata; Mammalia; Hyracoidea; Procaviidae.